Molecule: non-coding RNA, 107 nt
Organism: Gossypium hirsutum (cotton)
Lineage: Eukaryota; Viridiplantae; Streptophyta; Magnoliopsida; Malvales; Malvaceae
Source: Rfam
AACUCAUGGUGAGGGCAUCAUCUCAAUAAGUCCUUAUACCUCUCUCAUACAUCAUAUAAGGUCUCUAAAUCGAACUGAAUGAAAGAAAAGAUAUCAUUCAUCAACUU